RNAcentral lists this long non-coding RNA (290 nucleotides) under Populus tremula. RNAcentral describes it as "long non-coding RNA (PTRE_LNC000547)". Lineage: Eukaryota; Viridiplantae; Streptophyta; Magnoliopsida; Malpighiales; Salicaceae. The record is from RNAcentral.
AAAGGCCAUGGGGUAAAUGGGCAGCUGAAAUAAGAGACCCACACAAAGGUGUUAGAGUUUGGCUGGGCACUUACAACACAGCUGAUGAAGCCGCUAAAGCUUAUGAUGAAGCCGCCAAGCGCAUCCGUGGUGAUAAAGCCAAGCUCAACUUCCCCCCUCAGCCACCACCAACGUCCGAGGCGGCGCCGCCACCAACCUCGGAGGCGGCACCACCACCUGCCAAGAAGCGUUGCAUCUUGGGUCCUGAAACGGCUGCUAUGGCUAGUUUUGAGCAAAUCUUGAACUCGGAG